UGAACUGAACUGAAUCUCUAUCAGGAUGAUGCUGUGACAGGAGAAGCAGCUGGCCUGGCCCUAGGUUUGGUUAUGUUGGGCUCUAAAAAUGCCCAGGCUAUUGAGGACAUGGUCGGCUAUGCACAGGAAACUCAACAUGAGAAGAUUCUCCGUGGUCUUGCAGUUGGCAUUGUUAGUGACGUACGGGAGGAUGGAAGAGGCUGAUGCUCUCAUUGAAUCUCUCUGCCAUGAUAAGGAUCCAGUUCUUUGAUCUGGAAUGUGUACUGUAGCCAUGGCUUAUUGUGGCUCAGGAAACAACAAAGCUAUUCGACGCCUGCUACAUGUUGCUGUAAGUGAUGUUAAUGAUGACGUCAGGAGGGCAGCAGUAGAGUCACUUGCGUUCGUUCUCUUCAGGACCCCUGAACAGUGCCCUAGCGUUGUGUCAUUGUUGUCAGAGAGUUACAAUCCUCACGUGCGUUAUGGGGCUGCCACGGCCCUGGGCAUCUGCUGUGCUGGUACAGGAGACAAGGAAGCAAUUAAUUUGCUCGAACCAAUGACAAAUGACCCUGUGAACUAUGUGAGGCAAGGAGCUCUCAUAGCUUCGGCUCUCAUCGUGAUCCAGCAGACUGAAAUCACUUGUCCAAAGGUGAAUCAGUUCAGACAGCUGUAUUCCAGAGUCAUCAAUGAUAAGCAUGAUGAUGUUAUGGCCAAGUUUGGCGCUAUUCUGGCCCAGGGCAUACUGGACGCAGGUGGACAUAAUGUCACGAUCUCCUUGCAGUCCAGAACUGGACACAUCCAUAUGCCUUCUCUGGUUGGCAUCCUUGUCUUUACCCAGUUCUGGUUCUGGUUUCCUCUUUCACACUUCCUGUCAUUGGCUUAUACCCCUACCUGUGACAUUGGCCUGAACAAAGACUUAAAGAUGCCGAAAGUUCAAUAUAAACCAAACUGUAAACCAUCAGCAUUUGCGUAUCAUGCCCCUCUGGAAGUACCAGAAGAAAAAGAAAAGGAAAAGGUUUCCACUGCUGUGUUAUCUAUAACAGCCAAGGCCAAAAAGAAGGACAAAGAAAAGGAAAAAAAGGAAGAGGAGAAAAUGGAAGUGGAUGAGGCAGAGAAAAAGGAAGAAAAAGAGAAGAAAAAAGAACCUGAGCCAAACUUCCAGUUAUUGGAUAACCCAGCCUGAGUUAUGCCUGCCCAGCUUAAGGUCCUAAGCAUGCUGGAAACCUGUAGAUACCAGCCUUUCAAACCACUGUGCAUUGGAGGCAUCAUCAUUCUGAAGGAUACCAGUGAAGACACUGAAGAGCUGGUGGAACCCGUGGCAGCUCAUGGCCCAAAAAUUGAGGAGGAAGAACAAGAG
Molecule: RNA transcript, 1333 nt
Organism: Capra hircus (goat)
Lineage: Eukaryota; Metazoa; Chordata; Mammalia; Artiodactyla; Bovidae
Gene name: 26S proteasome non-ATPase regulatory subunit 1 pseudogene
Exons: 1
Source: RefSeq, a predicted model, not a curated record